GUUGGGAUAGCUCAGU
Molecule: transfer RNA, 16 nt
Filed under: Cineraria alchemilloides
Lineage: Eukaryota; Viridiplantae; Streptophyta; Magnoliopsida; Asterales; Asteraceae
Also listed under: 54 other names
Description: partial tRNA-Phe
Source: RNAcentral